Molecule: long non-coding RNA, 887 nt
Organism: Anopheles merus
Lineage: Eukaryota; Metazoa; Arthropoda; Insecta; Diptera; Culicidae
Exons: 2
Source: RefSeq, a predicted model, not a curated record
UGGAUAAGUGAUGGCAUCCCAAGUAGCAACCGAAGCUUUUUUCUCCCAGUUUCAACCCCCUCAUGUCCACAAACUGCCUUCGCUUACUAUUCCUAUCCCGUUUCUACAUUCCACAACGUUUGUUGCGUUCUCACUCAUCAGGGUGUUAGUCAAUUCUCUCUUGCCACACGAAGAGAUUUCUCCUGCACACUUCGUGUGUUUGAUUCUACCCAUCCCUGUUGAACACACGUCAUUUUCUUCCAUCGCACUCAUCAGGGUGUUUGCUCUUUUCCAUCCAAGCCAAAGAGCGACUUCAGUGUGCUCUGAACCGUGGACGUGAGAGUGUGUGUUUGUGUGCUGCGUGAACUAUUUUUCCUGCGUGAAACACUUUCCAUACUGCGCCAUCCGCGGUGUUCUUUCUGCUUUAUCGGAGAACAAAUUGUUAUCUUCCAAUUGUUUCGGUAAGUGUCCUUUUCUAAGUGUCUUCUAAGUUUCUAGUGUUAUGUGACAUUUAUUCUAAUUAAAACAUUGCACUUUACAUGUUUCAGAUGUGUGCUGCUACCGCUAGCUGUUCUCCAAACCUCUUCAAAUUGCGACACUGUGUGCACAGGCGUUCAAGGUUCAAUUGAUCCUCGAGCACAAAGCCUUCAUACAACACCGCGGUUGAGGCGCGUCAAAUCUGAUGACAUCUUUCCUGAACCAAGCAGGCUGAACACGCGAACCACCACGGGCUCCAGCGCGGUGUGAAGCGGAAAGAAGAAAAGACAAAAUUGAAAACAGCCGCGCCAGGCUUCCAACCACCGUGUGUGUGUAUGUAAGUAUGUGAGAACACAUGUGUGAAUCCUCUUGUGGGAACUGCAAAAAGAAGAUAAUAAAGAGUGUGAAGCAGCUAGACUGCCGCAACCAAA